Molecule: unclassified non-coding RNA, 210 nt
Filed under: uncultured Cortinariaceae
Lineage: Eukaryota; Fungi; Basidiomycota; Agaricomycetes; Agaricales; Cortinariaceae
Description: sequence contains ITS2
Source: RNAcentral
AUAUAUCAACCUCUUCAGCUUUUUUGCGUGUCGAGUGUUGGAUGUGGGGGUAUUUCUUUUGCUGGACUCUUCUUGAGGUCAGCUCCCCUAAAAUGCAUUAGCGAAACAAUUUGUCUUACUGCUCAUUGGUGUGAUAACUAUCUACGCUAUUGACGGGUAAAGCACAGUUUAGCUUCCAACAGUCCAUUGACUUGGACAAACUUUUUAUUA